RNAcentral lists this ribosomal RNA (483 nucleotides) under uncultured bacterium. RNAcentral describes it as "bacterial SSU rRNA". It matches the Rfam family "Bacterial small subunit ribosomal RNA", at positions 34 to 507 of the family's 1533-position model. The record is from RNAcentral.
CGCUGGCGGCAUGCCUUACACAUGCAAGUCGAACGGCAGCACGGGAGCAAUCCUGGUGGCGAGUGGCGGAACGGGUGAGUAAUAUAUCGGAACGUCGCCCAGUCGGUGGGGGAUUAACGUAGACGAAAGUUACGCUAAUACCGCAUACGAUCUAAGGAUGAAAGCGGGGGAUCGCAAGACCUCGCGCGAUUGGAGCGGCCGAUAUCAGAUUAGGUAGUUGGUGGGGUAAAGGCUCACCAAGCCAACGAUCUGUAGCUGGUCUGAGAGGACGACCAGCCACACUGGAACUGAGACACGGUCCAGACUCCUACGGGAGGCAGCAGUGGGGAAUUUUGGACAAUGGACGCAAGUCUGAUCCAGCCAUUCCGCGUGCAGGAUGAAGGCCCUCGGGUUGUAAACUGCUUUUGUACGGAACGAAAAGGUCUCUCUUAAUACGGGGGGCUCAUGACGGUACCGUAAGAAUAAGCACCGGCUAACUACGUG